UACGUAGGGUGCGAGCGUUAAUCGGAAUUACUGGGCGUAAAGCGUGCGCAGGCGGUUCGUCGUGUCCGAUGUGAAAGCCCCGGGCUCAACCUGGGAAUGGCAUUGGAAACUGGCGGACUCGAGUGUGGCAGAGGGGGGUGGAAUUCCGCGUGUAGCAGUGAAAUGCGUAGAGAUGUGGAGGAACACCGAUGGCGAAGGCAGCCUCCUGGGCCAGCACUGACGCUCAUGCACGAAAGCGUGGGGAGCGAACAGG
Molecule: ribosomal RNA, 253 nt
Filed under: uncultured bacterium
Lineage: Bacteria
Description: partial 16S ribosomal RNA
Rfam family: Bacterial small subunit ribosomal RNA
Source: RNAcentral